GACGAACGCUGGCGGCGUGCUUAACACAUGCAAGUCGAACGGAAAGGCCCUGCUUUUGUGGGGUGCUCGAGUGGCGAACGGGUGAGUAACACGUGAGUAACCUGCCCUUGACUUUGGGAUAACUUCAGGAAACUGGGGCUAAUACCGGAUAGGAGCUCCUGCUGCAUGGUGGGGGUUGGAAAGUUUCGGCGGUUGGGGAUGGACUCGCGGCUUAUCAGCUUGUUGGUGGGGUAGUGGCUUACCAAGGCUUUGACGGGUAGCCGGCCUGAGAGGGUGACCGGCCACAUGGGGACGGAGAUACGGCCCAGCCCCCUAGGGGGGGCAGCAGGGGGGAAUAUGGCACAAGGGGGGGAAGCCGGAUGCAGAAACCCCGGGGGGGGGAGGACGGCCUUCGGGUUGUAAACCGCUUUCGCCUGUGACGAAGGGGGAGUGACGGUAAUGGGAAAAGAAGCACCGGCAAACUACGU
Molecule: ribosomal RNA, 467 nt
Filed under: uncultured bacterium
Lineage: Bacteria
Description: partial 16S ribosomal RNA
Rfam family: Bacterial small subunit ribosomal RNA
Source: RNAcentral